Molecule: ribosomal RNA, 730 nt
Filed under: uncultured Prevotella sp.
Lineage: Bacteria; Pseudomonadati; Bacteroidota; Bacteroidia; Bacteroidales; Prevotellaceae
Description: bacterial SSU rRNA
Rfam family: Bacterial small subunit ribosomal RNA
Source: RNAcentral
UCGAGGGGAAACGGCAUUGGGUGCUUGCACUGAAUGGACGUCGACCGGCGCACGGGUGAGUAACGCGUAUCCAACCUUCCCGUUACUGCGGGAUAACCUGCCGAAAGGCAGACUAAUACCGCAUGUUCUUCGAUGACGGCAUCAGAUUCGAAGCAAAGAUCCGUCGGUAACGGAGGGGGAUGCGUCUGAUUAGCUAGUUGGCGGGGCGACGGCCCACCAAGGCGACGAUCAGUAGGGGUUCUGAGAGGAAGGUCCCCCACAUUGGAACUGAGACACGGUCCAAACUCCUACGGGAGGCAGCAGUGAGGAAUAUUGGUCAAUGGGCGGAAGCCUGAACCAGCCAAGUAGCGUGCAGGACGACGGCCCUACGGGUUGUAAACUGCUUUUAUGCGGGGAUAAAGUGAGGGACGCGUCCCUUUUUGCAGGUACCGCAUGAAUAAGGACCGGCUAAUUCCGUGCCAGCAGCCGCGGUAAUACGGAAGGUCCGGGCGUUAUCCGGAUUUAUUGGGUUUAAAGGGAGCGUAGGCCGGGGAUUAAGUGUGUUGUGAAAUGUAGGCGCCCAACGUCUGACUUGCAGCGCAUACUGGUUCCCUUGAGUACGCGCAACGCCGGCGGAAUUCGUCGUGUAGCGGUGAAAUGCUUAGAUAUGACGAAGAACCCCGAUUGCGAAGGCAGCCGGCGGGAGCGCAACUGACGCUGAAGCUCGAAGGUGCGGGUAUCGAACAGGAUU